GACGAACGCUGGCGGCGUGCUUAACACAUGCAAGUCGAACGGAAAGGCCCCUUUGGGGGUACUCGAGUGGCGAACGGGUGAGUAACACGUGAGUAACCUGCCCUUGACUUCUGGAUAACUUUAGGAAACUGGGGCUAAUACCGGAUAGGAAUCCUUGCUGCAUGGUGGGGGUUGGAAAGCUUCGGCGGUUUUGGUUGGACUCGCGGCUUAUCAGCUUGUUGGUGGGGUAGUGGCUUACCAAGGCUUUGACGGGUAGCCGGCCUGAGAGGGCGACCGGCCACAUUGGGACUGAGAUACGGCCCAGACUCCUACGGGAGGCAGCAGUGGGGAAUAUUGCACAAUGGGCGGAAGCCUGAUGCAGCAACGCCGCGUGCGGGAUGACGGCCUUCGGGUUGUAAACCGCUUUCAGCAGGGGCGAAGCUUUUGUGACGGUACCUGCAGAAGAAGCACCGGCUAACUACGUG
This 464-nucleotide ribosomal RNA is filed under the name uncultured bacterium. Its description in RNAcentral is "partial 16S ribosomal RNA". It matches the Rfam family "Bacterial small subunit ribosomal RNA", at positions 28 to 507 of the family's 1533-position model. The record is from RNAcentral.